UAUUUAAAGUAACAUCAAAAUAAUAAAUAACCAUGAGUGGUCUGGUGAAGCAGGGUAGUAUCAUAGUCUUGAGUGGGGUGGGUUCAAUACUCAUGUGUAGCAUUUUUUUAGUAUUUUAUUUUUCUUUUAGCAUUUUAUUUUCUUUUAGUAUUUUAUUUCUUUUAACAUUUUUUGUUAUGUUUAUGCUUUAUUAUUUUCAUAGUUUCAUUACCAUAACAUAGAUUUGUUGUCUUUUAAUUUCAUCAUUCAUUCAAAACCAUUUUUAAACUAUAAAAAUCAUAUUU
RNAcentral lists this long non-coding RNA (284 nucleotides) under Lathyrus oleraceus (garden pea). RNAcentral describes it as "Pisum sativum (pea) long non-coding RNA (PSAT_LNC026441)". Lineage: Eukaryota; Viridiplantae; Streptophyta; Magnoliopsida; Fabales; Fabaceae. The record is from RNAcentral.